This is a long non-coding RNA of Mobula hypostoma (lesser devil ray), 1431 nucleotides long. RefSeq lists it as uncharacterized. The transcript is spliced from 6 exons. Lineage: Eukaryota; Metazoa; Chordata; Chondrichthyes; Myliobatiformes; Myliobatidae. The record is from RefSeq and is a predicted model, not a curated record.
CCUUGAGCUGCUCCAGUGUUGAAUAUCAGUGAGGAAGAGAUGUUAUUUCCCAUCCUCACAGACUGUGGUCUUCAGGUGAGGAAGCCAAGGAUCCAUUUGCCAAGGGAGGUACAGGGACCAAGGUUUUGGAGCUCGCUGAUUAGAACUGAAGAAUGAGAAGUGACGGGAGCAUGUGGCUGUCAUGGCAGAAGACUGACAUUUUGAUGUCCAGAAGUGAUGAUCCAGAACUCUACAAAAAGUUCAGGAACGACCUCCGGAAGAGGGGAGAAGUAAUGGAGAAUGAAGUUAGAGACAGCAUCCAAUGCUAUGGCUCUGGCCAGAUGGCAUACGGUCACCAUGGUAACGUAGCGGUCAGCACGACGCUAUUACAGCUCAGGACGUCAGAGUUUGGCGUUCAAUCCCAGCAUCCUCUUUGAGGAGUUUCCACAUCCUCCCUGUGGCUGUUCCGGUUUCCUCCCACACUCCAAAGGCAUCCAGGUCUGAAUCUGAUUCUUAUUAUGAUUCUUAUUCUGGUUAUAAUUCUGAUACUCAAACACGAGGAAAUCUGCAGAUGCCGGAAAUUCAAGCAACACACCCAAAAUACUGGUGAACGCAGCAGGCCAGGCAGCAUCUACUGGAAGAGUGACAUAGUGCGAAGUAGGCCUUACCAGACCUUCAAGCCACGCCACUCCAGCGAUCCCUGACAAACCCUAUUGACCCUAACCUAAUCGUGGGACAAUUUACAAUGACCAAUUACCCUACCUGGUAUACCUUUGGACUGUGGGAGGAAACCAGAGCACCCGGAGGAAACCUACGCAUUCCAUGGGGAGGACGUACAGAGACUCCUUACAGAACAGCGCUGGAGUUGAACUCCAAACCCUGGAACACCCUGAGCUGUGAUAGCAUGACGCUAACUGCAGCUCUACUGUGAUAUAUACCAUGAUAAAUAUCCAUUGAAGCUGAUAUUCACAUGGAAACAAGUAACCAUUUCAUUGUGUUCCAAAUUUCAUUGGCUGGUUCUGGAAGGUAGCUUCAACAUAGUGAAGAAUCACAAUGCUUAUUCAUACUGUCUGAAGUUGGUUAUUCAUAAAUUAUCAGAUAAAUCUGCAAUAUACAUUUAUUAUAGAUAGACUAGACAGACACUAUCCUUCUCUCAGGGUUGAGGAGGAGGAGGAGAAGAUGGCGGCGUGACGCAGCGCGCGCGGCCACUCCGGUGAAUGAUAUCUGUUAUGUGUCAAGUAGGGUGCCGUGCACAAUUCUAAUUUGAUGGAGACGGAGGUAAGAGUGUAGAGGAACAUCUGGAGGAACCUCUGAAAUGUCCGCUUCGCUGCCGCUGUUACUGUGUGGUACGGAAUAUCCGGAGGAAUAUCUCAGCAGAUUUCAUUGAAGGAUCAAGCCAAGAUUCAGUCCCGAUUAAAAUGUCAGGAUUUUCUGUUUCAAUAAAUGAAUCAA